This 450-nucleotide ribosomal RNA is filed under the name uncultured bacterium. RNAcentral's name for it is "partial 16S ribosomal RNA". It matches the Rfam family "Bacterial small subunit ribosomal RNA", at positions 354 to 796 of the family's 1533-position model. The record is from RNAcentral.
GUCGAGAAUAAUUCACAAUGGACGAAAGUCUGAUGGUGCAACGCCGCGUGGAGGAUGACGGUCUUCGGAUUGUAAACUCCUGUCAUCCGGGAGUAAGACCUGGCUGUGAAUAGCAGACAGGGUUGAUAGUAUCGGAAGAGGAAGGGACGGCUAACUUCGUGCCAGCAGCCGCGGUAAUACGAAGGUCCCAAGCGUUGUUCGGAAUCACUGGGCGUAAAGGGAGCGUAGGCUGCGCGGUAAGUCAGGUGUGAAAUCCCGGGGCUCAACCCCGGAACUGCACCCGAUACUGCCGUGCUAGAGUGUUGGAGAGGUGACUGGAAUUCUCGGUGUAGCAGUGAAAUGCGUGGAUAUCGAGAGGAACACUCGUGGCGAAGGCGAGUCACUGGACAACAUCUGACGCUGAGGCUCGAAGGCCAGGGGAGCAAAAGGGAUUAGAUACCCCUGUAGUCC